CUGGUGGCCCAAGCUGAUAUUUGCAAAAUAGAAUUGGCUUUGCAUUUUAGGUUAGAAUUAUAGAGAAUUAGGAAUUUAGGAGGAGAGCUCCCAGCUUUGUGCCGCCAGCCUCCAGGUCUUGGAUAAAGGGGUUCUGCUCCGGCGAGGUGGUACCACAACUUGGACGACGACAAUGGUGGCAGGAACUGUGCUACUCGCAGACGCCGCUAUGGCACGACGAGAAGUCCAUCUUCUUUAUGUCAUCCGAAUCAAGUGAAAGGGGUUAAUAAUCAACCUUCUCUUCUUCUCCUUCUCCUUCUCCUUCUCCGGCGAGGUUGUUGUAUGAAUUAAGUAGCAUGGACAGUGAGGGAUCGGGUUGCCCACUGAGAUGGUCUGGAACCUCUGGGUUCAGGGUGGCAGGAACCACGAAGAAGACAAUGUGCAUAUGGACGGGAUUUGAUGAGGGUGGUGGUGCCUCAGUGGCUCUGGCUCGGCUCCACUGUUCCUUGGCUUCGAUGGACAGUGGCGAGUAGAAUGGAUGAACCACUGAACCGAUUGCUUCUUCUUCAUCUUCUGCGGUCAUCACGGCGUGGUUCCGAGCCGCACACAGUGGUUACUGGAAUACAUUGGGGUCCAACCACCCCUCUCUUUGGCCGGGCCGAAUGGGUUAUGAACCCACUACCGGAUCUUGUUGGUAGAGGUGUAACCGGAAGCUUAAGAACCAGUUUUGCAUAGGGUAUUUUUGGCUUGUGCAAAGUAUAAAGGCUUAAAAUUCUCUUAAAAAUAUUUUUUAGUUAUGAAUACAGGUUGUUAAUGAUUCAGUUUGAGGGAUUAAGAG
Molecule: long non-coding RNA, 817 nt
Filed under: Lupinus angustifolius (narrow-leaved blue lupine)
Lineage: Eukaryota; Viridiplantae; Streptophyta; Magnoliopsida; Fabales; Fabaceae
Description: long non-coding RNA (LANG_LNC003374)
Source: RNAcentral